GGGAGGUUACGGCGGGGAGCCGGGACAAACCAUUCCUUGCGAGGGGACACCGCCGGCGGCCGGGCGGCCGGGCGGGGCGGGGAGCGCGGACCCUCCCACACAGAAAGCAACAUAGAAAACAAGAAAAAAACCUGCUGCCAGAAAAUAUGUUUAUUUUUUCCAUAUAUCACAAAUUAAAACAACCUAUAAGAACAUGAAGCAUUCAAAAAGAAAUGUGCAAAACAAGUCUGUGGAAAAAAAUCUAUGUCUGCUCAUAUAGGGGUUGUCCAGGCAACCAGAUAAAACAGAGAUUUAAAGGGGCCUGUCCUGUCUGUGCUGUGGGCUCCAAACUCACGUCAAGGAAAGGAGCCCUGCCUGUGGGGAAACCCAGCCUGGGGCAGGAGAAUCCUCCAAAUGUUGGCCAAUCCUUUCCUACAACUGCUUGCUGCAGCAAAGAAACAAAAGACUACUACAAUUUUACUUUACAUAGACGUGCCCAGCCUUUCUCUUCCCUCCUUCCUUGAAAUCCCAGCUGCCAUGGAAAUCCUGCUCUCCAACACCACUGAAACUCUCAGAAGCCUUUUACUUCUAACUGUAUAAUGCUACAAUGUGUGGAUGAAAAAGCCCUCUAUAAAUGCAAUUUAGCUUCCUGGCUUGUAAAUGUAAGGAAAAUACACUGCAGGCACCUGACUGAAGAACAUCUGCUGAAACCCUCUGAGCCUAGAAUGACCACUCAUUCAUGGCACUAGCAAUAUAAAAAAAAAUUUUAAAAAAGACACUGAGAAGAAAUUAAAGCAUUUAAAGGCUCAAACUCCGGAAAUAGCAGAAACUACUGGAAAAGAAGGCAAGAACACUUCAGUGUACAUCUGGAAACAAUGCCAGGAGUCUGAACCAUGAAGAAACUGCAUGUUGCUGCCUUGGAUGACUGUUUUCUGUAGAAUAAAAAAACUUGCAGUGAAAGAUGAUGUGUGCAGAAGAAAUAAUAAACAUAAGAGCAAAUGGGACAUAUUACCUUUGUUAGGCAUAUAUGCACAGCUCCUAGUAUUUCUAGGAACUGUGCUCUAACUCUGAGAUAAAAACAGCAAGUUGUAGAAAUAUAAAGAGGUAAAAAUACAGGUUUAUGAAACUGAUUUUUUUUUCUAUUUAAAAAUGUGCUUCUAGAAAUUAAAAAAAAAAAAACAGGAAAACCAUCUUGGACUGUUUUCCUAUUUUUGGAUGGUACUACUAAAGAUAUUACAGCAGAAGAGCUGAUUAUGCAUUAAGAACUUUUUUAGCUAGACUUCUUUAACCAAUACAGUAAUAUGUGAGAGAGGGACACAAUUUACAGGACAUACAUUUGAGCAGAAUACAGUGAAGCCUAGAUUUAGAUGUGGGACUACUAGUUCCUCAUCAUUCCUUACUUAUUGGGUGCAGAGUAUGUAAGAAAGCUUGCUAAACUGUUUGAACUUUCCUAGCUAGAAUUAAAAUGACCUUCAGGUAACCUAGCAUAUUUCACUUCCAAAGUGAGUGAGGCUAAACUGAAUUAAGGUCAUUUUUAAUUCUGAGGAAAAAGAGAUACUGAGGCAUUUAAUAUAGCUUAGUGUACUUUAAAUUAACAGUUGUAAUUAACUUGGAGAUCUCUGUAGAAAAGACCUAAAAAGAUAAAUUAAAAACACCACUGUUUUUGUUUUUUGUUUUUAAUCAUCUUAAUUCUGUAGAAGGUGAUUCAGAGUCUUAAUAUAAAGUAAGAACAAACAGUAUAAUAUUGAUCACCUCUCAGUUAUGGUGAACUUACCAUAAUUGGAAGCUAUCCUGAAAGUGGCUUACUAUAUAGUUUUUUAAACAGCUAUGCAUUUUUUAAUAACUGACUACACAAGUAGUAUUUCUAUUCAAAUCUGUGGGAGUAAACUAGAAUCAAAUAUCAGACAAGUAUACCAUCAACUCUGACUUAGGUUUCAUUCCUGCUAUAGUUCAUGUGCAGCAGUACAAAUAUGUUGCUAAACUACUAAAAAUACAACAACAACAAAAAAAAAAAAAAGUGAUUUUUUUUUUGUUUGCUUUCCUCUAUUUAAUAUGUACAAAAUCAACUUAUAUGGAAUAAUCUGCAGAACAAUUAUAAGCAACUGAAAAAAGUGCUGCUUGGCUGAUAGCAAGAGACUACACCCACUGCCAAAUGAUCAUAGGAGAUAAAGGCCAAAAACUGAGCAGCUGGACUUGCCCAUUAAGGCAGUCUGUAGCUUAUCUCUGAAAAAAACAUGUCACUUCUGCAGGACAUUGACCUCAACAAAACACCUGUUACCUCCUGUGGUGAAUUAAUAUGUGGCCACUAUCCAUAGAAAAUUUGAUCAAAUGCUCUCUUGUAGGGGGUAAUACUGACAGCAAAAACAUAGAACCUGUUUUGUUAAAUUAGGUCUAAAACAUCAGGAAAAAACCCCACCUUGCAGCUUUAUGGCUCUUCAGAGUCUUGUGGUGAACUGUAGUUAAAAAUCAAUAAGGGAAUAUAUAAACUCUUUUCUUCUAGGUUUACAUGGGGUUUUUUGACCAGUGGCUAUCUUGGGAAAUAUUUGGAAAACAUCUAAUGCCAAGAAAAAAAAAAUGUGGCAGUGGCUGCUAGUGUAAAUUUCCUUUGGAGCUUUUUGCUUUAAGUCUACCUAGUCACACUGAAGGGAACCCAAGUUGCCCUUAGUUAAGACUUCUUCCAAACUAAAAUGUCCCUCAAAAUUGUAACAUCCAUGGUGUGCCAAACACCUCCUUGAGGCUCCAGAUUCCUUUUGGAUUCACAGUUGAAGAGCAUCAAAGAACAUUUUUCAGGACAUCUGGCAGAGCAAGUUUUCGGCCAAGUUGCUUUGGUUUCAUAGUGGAUUCAGGGGCUGGCAGUCUCAGAUAUUGUAGAAACAUGAUGUAAGUCCUUUCACUUCUCUCUGAGUGGGUGGGUCCUCAACUGGAAUGAAUUUGGCAUCAGUGGAUUAAGCCUUCCCUGCAGAAGGAUGUAGUUUAUUGCUGUCUGUAUAGCUAGUACAGGGAGCAAGGGAAAUUGCUGUGUUCCUGCUUUCAUCCUUUCCCUUAGCACAUCUACAUGACAUAAUUGAUAUAUUCUUGGCAGGUCUGAAAUUAUGCUGCAGUGAUGAAUAUUCCUGUUUCUGGGUCAGAAGCUGUAAAAUUUGGAAAAUAUCUUCCAUAGCCACAAAGAAAUGCAUAUGCUUCUUGGCACGUUAGCAACCUGCUAGAAAAGCAUCCCACACUGGCAGAACAGGGGUUAGCUGAGAGCAGAAAAUGUGCCAGUAGCCUGGAACAACCCGAAGGGAAAACAAGGAGUUAAAUGCCAAAUAUAUCAUUCUGUUUAGGAGAGAGAAGGAGGCUGCCAGGGGUAUUCAAAGAUGCAGGAAUGUGGGAUUUUGGGAAGAGCAGUCUAAUUUGGUAUUCAAAGCCAGCAGUUUACAGGCACUGCUGCAAUGGUAAGGCAGGCUGGCCACAGAAGGAGAACCCCAGCUGAGGCAGGUACAUAGUCAAAACUCAAGCAGAGCCUGCACCCUCAGGCUAGGGAUGAUCAGUAUGGGUGGGCUGGACCAUCAAUCUGUGCAUGCCAACCCCUUGCAAUGCAGGCACACCUCAAAUUCGAGAGAAGAAAAUGAAGAUGCAUAAUGAUUUAAAUUUAGUGACUUGUUUCAAAUGUGUAUUGAAAACAACUGCUGGAGUUGCUACAGAAAUGCCACUAUCUCAUCUAGAAUUCAGAAUGAUUAUGGAAUGAAAGGAUAUGUGGCUCCAGAAGUAAUUACCAUAUGAACAGGUGAUUUCUGUAAAGACACCUGAGAGUCUUUAAUCCAGAAGAAAUGGUCUUUUUUGUCCUGAAAUGACCCUCUCAUUUUUAGUUCUAAGUCUAUAUAGGGUACAAUAUGUGAGUUUCAUGAGAGAACUACACAUCUGAUACAGAGCUUUAGGCUUUAUCAGAGUGAAGGAUUAGUCUUGCUAGGAUAUUUCUAACUGAUAGUUCCCAAGAAAUACGUUAAAAAUUGUAUGAAAACCUGCUGAGAGUCAUUGAAACAUCAUCAAAUCCAUACUGCUAAAACUGCUGAGUUGACUUUCUUAGAGCAUACUUUUUUAAAUCUCAUAUAGAUCAGCAAAACAAAUGAAAUUUUAAAUUUGAGAUUGGGCCUUUAGUGAAAUAUAUUAACAUACACAAACAGAACAUUUUCAUAUUUGCAUUACUUUAUUUUUCAACCAAUGUGUUGAAAGAAGGCAAACUACUUGUAAAUAAGGAGUGAUAUAAGGCAUUUCAGCAUAAAAGGAUUUUAUAUAAAAAAAUUAAGGAAAGUGAAGAUUAUGGCUGGAAUAAGAAUUGACAGUCUGAAUGCUAAGUGAUUGUAUACACAUAAUAUCUAUAAUCAUCGGUAUGUUUUGCAAUUAAACAACGACUAUUAACUUGUUAAUACAGCAUAAGAUGUGUGAGUAGUGUGAAUGUGAAUACAAAUGUCCAUCCCUAACUCCUUAUUUCUG
Molecule: long non-coding RNA, 4452 nt
Organism: Onychostruthus taczanowskii (white-rumped snowfinch)
Lineage: Eukaryota; Metazoa; Chordata; Aves; Passeriformes; Passeridae
Exons: 6
Source: RefSeq, a predicted model, not a curated record